This 1372-nucleotide long non-coding RNA is filed under the name Homo sapiens (human). RNAcentral describes it as "HSALNT0101510". The record is from RNAcentral. Lineage: Eukaryota; Metazoa; Chordata; Mammalia; Primates; Hominidae.
CCUUGAAGGAAGAAAACAUCGAAGGAGGAAAGAGAAGGCUUUGACAUAAAUUGAGAGGAACAAGGAGAAAGAGGUUCGUUGCUCUGGAAACCAAGGAAGAAUCAAAGAGGAGAAUGGAAGAUGUCACAUAUCUAAGAAUUCUUUAUUGGAUUGGGCAAUUGAGGAUUCACAGAUGAUCAGAGGAGCCAGAGACAAAUCAGAGUGAAUCUGCUUUAUUACCCAGAGGAUACAAUGAAGGAAGCUUGGGGUCAUCCUAAAUUCCUGAAUUUUCUCUAUUUUGCAAGAUCCAGCCAAUAAUCAAGUCUAGUCACUUUUUCCUCCUCGUAAGUAUCUUCUGUACCUUCGGUUCCCACUGCCUCAUCGUUUUUUGUUCUGGGUAUUUGAAUAGGCUUCUCGUGGUCUCCAGAAUCCAAGGAAUGCUCUCUUCAAUCCAUUCUCUUCAAUAAUACAGGAAUGAAUCCUUAAAAUUCAAAUUGAGCAUGUCAUUGGCUUACCCUGAAGUCCUUCAUUCACACCCAUCUGCUUCCAGGAAGUGCCCCUCAGUCCUGUCUUUCUGUGAUGUAUGAGACCACCUCCUGCUGGAGGCUUACCUCUCAGAUGUACCAGUCGUUGUGGCCACAGUGGCCUUCUGGAAUUUUCUGUACACUCUCAUUCCUGAGAGUCUUGCUUAUGCUCUUUUUCAGAUCUGGAAUGGUUUUUCCCAUCUCUGUAAAGAAACAUUUUCAUCUGAAAAAUUGGGAAACACCAUGAUUAUUUGACACAUUUAAAAAAUGCCAAGUAUAUGAAAUUAAAUUAGGUAGAAUGAUUUUUGGGGGGAUCUAAAGAAUUGCCAAUUAGUGAAUACACAGAAUGCCCAGAAGAGAAGUUUUACAAAAAUUGUUAGGGUAGAAACUGUUAUUACUAACAAUUUUCUGUGUAGAAACUAGUAUAAUCUUUUGGAUGCUAAGGAAGCUGUAAUCUGGAAUUACAAACCAAAGACAAAACCAAACUUCAGACAUUGCUGGUGCUACCACCAUGGAGAAGGAGAGAGAUUCAUACGUAAUUGAAAUGAAUCAGUCUCUUUCUAUGGCUUAGGUGUCUUAAUGGGGCGAGGUGUCAGUUUUUACACUGCUUACUGGCAUUGUUUCAAACUACAAGGGCCUCUGUGCACCACCUGACCUGGGAACUUAUCUCCUGGUACCCGGAGAGGGACAGAUGACUUGGAUUUGAUCCUAAAUGGGACUAUUAGAGAAAAAUGGCAGUUAAUACAUCAACAGAAAAAAGAUUAAUUGUUUAGUAAUCUGGAAAGGGAUAACUAUGCCAACAAUUUCAAGGAAGAGAAGAAGCUUUUCAGUAAGUGGUUAAGAUAAAUAUUUUGCACACUAAAAUUCUG